UACGUAGGGGGCAAGCGUUGUCCGGAUUUACUGGGCGUAAAGGGCGCGUAGGCGGACAGUUAAGUUGGGGGUGAAAGCCCGGGGCUCAACCUCGGAAUUGCCUUCAAUACUGGCUGUCUUGAGUACGGGAGAGGUGUGUGGAACUCCGAGUGUAGAGGUGAAAUUCGUAGAUAUUCGGAAGAACACCAGUGGCGAAGGCGACACACUGGCCCGUUACUGACGCUGAGGCGCGAAAGCGUGGGGAGCAAACAGG
Molecule: ribosomal RNA, 253 nt
Filed under: uncultured bacterium
Lineage: Bacteria
Description: partial 16S ribosomal RNA
Rfam family: Bacterial small subunit ribosomal RNA
Source: RNAcentral